UUACAUCAGAACCCCUGUACCCCAGAAAUGAAUCAGGUUGCAGAGAAAAAGGAUGGCGUCUUGUGUAUCCAAAAUCCCAUCUCAGAGGCUAUCUAUAUAACCUGAGAGCUCCUACUCUAACCAGAACUUUAGGGCAGAAAUUGGGAAGUCUGAGGGAAAAGGCUUUCAGAUGCAGACAGCUACCGAAUUUGCUUACUCUCACGUGCUUUGAUGGGARACUUGGCCUAUUUGUUCCAAAGCCCUGAGGAGAGGGGAAUCUGCAUUUCCCUGAGAGGAAGAUAUGACAAAGUUCCAGGAGACAUGAAUGAAAGUUCUGUGGAAAACCAAGAGAAAGAACUUCAGGAUCUGUUAUGGCAUCUACUGGCUAAUUUUGAAAGAGAUGACAAUAUAAUACCUGGAAUCUGGAUUAUAAACCCUUAAAGAAGUACAUGGGGAUCCUGAGAUAUUUCCCUGUGUCAAAAGUGGAGAGAAGCAUCUUGUCAUAGUUCCAGAAACAGGAAUAGUGUAGUUACUCUUCAAAGUGAUGAUUUCAGAAACAUUGCAAAUGAAAUAUAUUUG
RNAcentral lists this long non-coding RNA (558 nucleotides) under Urocitellus parryii (Arctic ground squirrel). RNAcentral describes it as "lncRNA (ENSUPAG00010022170.1)". Lineage: Eukaryota; Metazoa; Chordata; Mammalia; Rodentia; Sciuridae. The record is from RNAcentral.